Molecule: transfer RNA, 72 nt
Filed under: Mus musculus (house mouse)
Lineage: Eukaryota; Metazoa; Chordata; Mammalia; Rodentia; Muridae
Rfam family: tRNA
About the family: Transfer RNA (tRNA) molecules are approximately 80 nucleotides in length. Their secondary structure includes four short double-helical elements and three loops (D, anti-codon, and T loops).
Source: Rfam by way of RNAcentral
UCCCUGGUGGUUUAGUGGUUAGGAUUUGGCGCUCUCAACACCGAAGCCCUGGUUCAAUUCCCAGUCAGGGAA